CUUGGCAAACUUUUUUGCUUUCCAGAAAGUAGAAAGUAUGGAAUCAAUCGGAGUCCUUAUGAUGUGCCCUAUGUCCUCCUACCUCGAGAACGAGCUUCAGAAGCGCUUCAACCUUAUUCGCUUUUGGAAUUUCCAGGAGAAAUCCGUCUUUCUGGAAACCCAUCGGAACUCAAUCGGCGCCGUCGUUGGAAACGCUUCUACAGGCGCUGACGCUGAGCUCAUCAAUGAUCUCCCCAAGCUUGAGAUCAUCUCCAGCUUCAGCGUCGGCAUCGAUAAGAUCGAUUUGGGGAAAUGCAAGGAAAAAGGGAUCCGAGUCACCAACACUCCGGACGUUCUCACCGAAGACGUGGCAGAUGUCGCGAUUAGCCUAAUACUGACUCUCCUCCGACGCUUAUGUGAGUGCGAUCGCUAUGUGAGGAGCGGUAAAUGGAAGUAUGGAGAUUUUCAACUCACUACUAAGUUUAGUGGCAAAUCACUAGGCAUCCUCGGUCUAGGUAGAAUUGGGACUGCCAUCGCCAAGAGGGCUGAAGCCUUUAGCUGCCCAGUCAGUUACUACUCUAGAAGAGUGAAGCCUGAUUUAGGCUACAAGUAUUAUCCAACGGUGGUUGAGCUUGCUCAAAACUCAGACAUCCUCGUCGUGGCCUGCCCAUUGACUGACGAAACCAGACACAUUGUGAAUCGGAAUGUCAUGGAUGCAUUAGGAGCAAAGGGUGUGCUGAUAAACAUAGGGCGUGGGCCACAUGUUGAUGAGCAAGAGCUAGUAAAUGCUCUAACAGAAGGCCGCCUAGGUGGGGCUGCGCUGGACGUGUUUGAGCAGGAGCCACACGUGCCCGAGGAGCUCUUUGGGCUUCAAAAUGUGGUUUUGCUUCCCCACGUUGGGAGUGGCACUGUAGAGACAGAGAAUGCCAUGGCAGAUCUUGUGGUGGCUAACUUGGAAGCGCACUUUGCUGGGGAAUCACUUCUGACUCCGGUGGUCUGAGAGUAAAUGGCUUCUUCUAUUAUAUGUCGAUAAACUAGUGAUGGAAAGUGUCAAUUUCUCUUCCAUACAAGUUGCAUUGUCGUAUAUAAGGAUCGGUUUUCCAACUUCUCUAUGGCACAGAGAAGUUGGAGCAACAACUAUUUAUCACAGACGGACUUUCUACUUAAAGCGUCUUCUUUUGGCUUUUUACUCAAAUCUCUUGUGACAACAUCAGCGGACGUCAAUUGAGUGAAUAAACACCUCAAGGCAACCUCAUAAGCAGCAAAAAUGGCACCAUUAACAACAAAGGCCCUGGCAACUGCAGUCCCGAGGCCACGCCAGAGAACCCCAUAGCCUUCCUGUGCGAUGCUUUUACGAAAACAAUCAGCAAUGCCCUCGUAAGCCCCAUGACCUCCUUGUUGAAGCCUGGUCUUGACGACAUCAAGAGGAUAGCAAAUGACCCAACUGGACACACCAGCCAGGCCACCUGCGACCAGCAUGGUCCUAAGAGUUUCUUCUCCACUCUUCCUGCAGCCGGGAUGAAGCAUUUCUCGUACGUACUCGUAAGUCCAGAAGUAAAACCCGUGAGCUGGAGCAUCUCUGAGAACAGUUAUGGUGAGGCCUUUGUAAAUCCCCUUUAGCCCUUCUCUCCUAAGGAUGGUCUUAGCCAAGCUGAUGGGACCGCUGUUGCUCUGCUGCAGCUGAAGACGAAUCUUGAUGAGCUCGACGGGGCUAAGCAAGAGGCUCUGCACAGCGCCAGUGCCAACCCCACCAAGAGCAACGCCUCUGUAGGAAGAAGGCUCUUCCAUGGGAACAGAGGAAUCAAAGGAGCGAGAGAGUAUUGCAUAUAUCUGGAAUACCAUAGCAUUCUGUGACAUGAUCACAAGAAGAAGAAGACAACGAUGAGUAAAUCACAUGUGCACAAAAGAAUAUGCGAGUGGAAUCAAUGCUUUUCUUUUAAUAAAAAAAAGUUAUGAUGAGAGGAUGGAUGGGAUAUUCAUGAGACGAUGUGAUACAAAAAAGGUGAAUCUAAGAAAGAAGAACCUGAAAGGUGACGGAGGCCAAGGGUGCAGCCAUGCCUCUGUAGAGUGAGGAGGGACCCUCCACGGCGAGCAUCCGGCGGAGAAUGGUGAAGGCAGAUCCGGAUUUGGAGCUCUGUUGCUGACGAAUUCUCAGCGUGUCCAAGGGAUAGCCGGAAAUGAUACCGGCAACGCCUCCGAAUCCACCGGCGACGAACUCCCUUCCCCAGCUGCUCGCCAUAAACUCCGGCCAGAAAUCCAUGUCGAUAUCUUUCUUCUUCGAAUUAGUAUUCUUUUAAGAAAAAAAAGGUUUAUCUUUAUUUGUAAAGAUUCAAUGCCUUUAACCUGCCCGAGGGAUUUGAUUGUGUACGUCUACAACUUUCCGAGUAAAAAGCGGAUUGGGAUUUUGUC
Molecule: RNA transcript, 2388 nt
Organism: Brassica napus (rape)
Lineage: Eukaryota; Viridiplantae; Streptophyta; Magnoliopsida; Brassicales; Brassicaceae
Gene name: glyoxylate/hydroxypyruvate reductase A HPR2
Exons: 4
Source: RefSeq, a predicted model, not a curated record